AACGAACGCUGGCGGCAUGCCUAACACAUGCAAGUCGAACGAGACCUUCGGGUCUAGUGGCGCACGGGUGCGUAACGCGUGGGAACCUGCCCUUAGGUUCGGAAUAACUCCCCGAAAGGGGUGCUAAUACCGGAUAAUGUCUUCGGACCAAAGAUUUAUCGCCUUUGGAUGUGCCCGCGUUGGAUUAGCUAGUUGGUAGGGUAAAAGCCUACCAAGGCGACGAUCCAUAGCUGGUCUGAGAGGAUGAUCAGCCACACUGGGACUGAGACACGGCCCAGACUCCUACGGGAGGCAGCAGUGGGGAAUAUUGGACAAUGGGCGAAAGCCUGAUCCAGCAAGGCCGCGUGAGUGAUGAAGGCCUUAGGGUUGUAAAGCUCUUUUACCCGGGAUGAUAAUGACAUUACCGGGAGAAUAAGCUCCGGCUAACUCCGUG
RNAcentral lists this ribosomal RNA (433 nucleotides) under uncultured bacterium. RNAcentral's name for it is "partial 16S ribosomal RNA". It matches the Rfam family "Bacterial small subunit ribosomal RNA", at positions 29 to 507 of the family's 1533-position model. The record is from RNAcentral.